AUGUUCAGCUGUUUGUGGGUCAUUUUGACCUCCUCCCAGGUCAGGUCACACAUGAGCUCCCGGCCACACACGCCAGCAGAAAUUAGAUACUACACACACUCUCACUCCUCGCUCUGGUUCCAGGCACAGCUCCAUCGCUACUCACCGGAUCCCCCCUCCGCAGGCGCUCAGGCCCUCUCUCUCCCUCUCUUUCUGCUGGGGAUGGAAGGCAACCGUCACUCACCUGCCGACACGCCGCCCAUGCUUCCCUGUGGCCCCCACGCUUUGCUCAGGCUGAUUUCCUCAGUCUCUGAGGUUCUGCAAGACCUGGCCCAGCCUACCUUUCCAGCCUCCUGUCCCUAUAUGUUCCAUACCCACCCGAUCUCCCCGCCCCCACAUCAACCCUGCUCUUCUGACCUCUUCACAGGACUCACUCCUCUCUUCCUUCCCAGCCCAGGUUGUUAGACAUGAAUCUAGGUACUCCCUGAUUUGUGUAGGAGGAAUGAUGGCUGCGGCACACCGUGGUCUCGGAAUCCUUGCUGUUUCCCAGGCACAGGACCAACAGUUCCCGGUGGAUCAUUUCAUUUCAUUCUUUCUAGCAGUCUGUGAGGUGGGUAUGAUUCCCAAGGGGCCCAGCCCCGAGUUAUGAAUCAUCAUUGAUCUAAUUUCCCAGGUUUCUUUGCAGCAGGAAGAUAUGGGACACAAGACUGUCCAAAAGGUCACUGCGAGAGAUUCUAGGAAACACUUUGUUUGCCAACAGAAGGGAGGACAGAGGCAGUACUUUCCCCUUCCACUUUUUUCCUGUCUGGAGUUUGGAUGUGAUGGCUGGAGCUGUGGCAGCUGUUUCCAGCAGCUGCUGGACCAGAACAUGUAGUCGAC
RNAcentral lists this long non-coding RNA (858 nucleotides) under Mustela putorius furo (domestic ferret). Its description in RNAcentral is "lncRNA (ENSMPUG00000030402.1)". The record is from RNAcentral. Lineage: Eukaryota; Metazoa; Chordata; Mammalia; Carnivora; Mustelidae.